Molecule: ribosomal RNA, 429 nt
Filed under: Gemmatimonadota bacterium
Lineage: Bacteria; Pseudomonadati; Gemmatimonadota
Description: Gemmatimonadetes bacterium partial 16S ribosomal RNA
Rfam family: Bacterial small subunit ribosomal RNA
Source: RNAcentral
UAGGGAAUCUUCGGCAAUGGACGAAAGUCUGACCGAGCAACGCCGCGUGAGUGAAGAAGGUUUUCGGAUCGUAAAACUCUGUUGUUAGAGAAGAACAAGGACGUUAGUAACUGAACGUCCCCUGACGGUAUCUAACCAGAAAGCCACGGCUAACUACGUGCCACCAGCCGCGGUAAUACGUAGGUGGCAAGCGUUGUCCGGUUUUAUUUGGCGUAAAGCGAGCGCAGGCGGUUUCUUAAGUCAGAUGUGAAAGCCCCCGGCUGAACCGGAGAGGGUCAUUGGAAACUGGGAGGCUUGUGUGCAGAAGAGGAGAGUGGAAUUCCAUGUGUAGCGGUGAGAUGCGUAGAUAUAUGGAGGAACACCAGUGGCGAAGGCGGCUCUCUGUUCUGUAACUGACACUGAGGCUAGAAAGCGUGGGGAGCAAACAGG